This 274-nucleotide ribosomal RNA is filed under the name uncultured bacterium. RNAcentral describes it as "partial 16S ribosomal RNA". It matches the Rfam family "Bacterial small subunit ribosomal RNA", at positions 523 to 796 of the family's 1533-position model. The record is from RNAcentral.
AGACAGAGAUGGCAACCGUUGUUCGGAAUCACUGGGCUUAAAGGGCACGUAGGCGGAUAUUUAAGUCGGCUGUGAAAGACCACGGUUCAUUCGUGGGAGGUCAGCCGAAACUGGAUGUCUUGAGGUCGGUAGGGGAAAGUAGAAUUCCUGGUGGAGCGGUGAAAUGCGUUGAUAUCAGGAGGAAUGUCGGAGGCGAAGGCGACUUUCUGGGCCGAAACUGACGCUGAGGUGCGAAAGCUAGGGGAGCAAACGGGAUUAGAAACCCCAGUAGUCC